This 261-nucleotide ribosomal RNA is filed under the name uncultured prokaryote. RNAcentral's name for it is "partial 16S ribosomal RNA". It matches the Rfam family "Bacterial small subunit ribosomal RNA", at positions 524 to 784 of the family's 1533-position model. The record is from RNAcentral.
UACGUAGGUGGCAAGCGUUGUCCGGAUUUAUUGGGCGUAAAGGGAGCGCAGGCGGUGACUUAAGUCUGAUGUGAAAGCCCACGGCUCAACCGUGGAAGGUCAUUGGAAACUGGGUCACUUGAAUAUAGAAGAGGAAAGUGGAAUUCCAUGUGUAGCGGUGAAAUGCGUAGAUAUAUGGAGGAACACCAGUGGCGAAGGCGGCUUUCUGGUCUAUUAUUGACGCUGAGGCUCGAAAGCAUGGGUAGCAAACAGGAUUAGAUA